CUUAUAUUUCCAACCCAACUUGAAUCACCUCGAUCCAAUGUCUGCAGCUCAAAUUAUGAUUAUUUUACCGACAGCUGCUUCUUGCUUGAGGCAGUCACUAUUUUUGACUUUUCAACAUUAUUUUCCUCCAAUUGCUCGACUUGUUCUAAAUUGAAAAUACAUGUGAAAUAUAUCAAAUAGAUACUCUUUCAAAUGUAUAAUACUCAUGCCGACAUGUAUGUAAAUACGUAUUUCAAUUAAUUGCAUUUUUAACCAUGUAUUUAUGGAAAUUGAAUUUACGGCAAGAGAAUUGAAAUUAGAGACUAACAUUAGUAUUUUUAAACAAAGUGAAUGUAAAAUGCCUUGUAAAUGAUAUAUCUUUGAAGCACUUUUAGACACUAAUCACACUCCCCAACCAAGAUAUUGCUAGUCUCUAGCAAUAAAAAUUAAAAAAUAGUUCCAAUGAAAUAGCUUGUCGCAUUUGUCUCAAGAUUUGAAAUUGCUUAUCAAAAUUCUUCUAAGGUUUG
Molecule: long non-coding RNA, 506 nt
Filed under: Olea europaea subsp. europaea
Lineage: Eukaryota; Viridiplantae; Streptophyta; Magnoliopsida; Lamiales; Oleaceae
Source: RNAcentral